This 300-nucleotide long non-coding RNA is filed under the name Vicia faba (fava bean). Lineage: Eukaryota; Viridiplantae; Streptophyta; Magnoliopsida; Fabales; Fabaceae. The record is from RNAcentral.
AUGUCAUCUCGUGUGAUGAAAAACCUCCUCGCAAUGCUUGAGGCUGAAGAAGCCGAAGCAUCGAAAUACAACAACAACCAAGGUACUGCUGAUGCAUUUAACAAUCAUGGUGGCGGGAAUCAAAAUUUCUCUGGUGCCAGAGUCAACAGCGGUGCGAAUUCCGGGGACCGAAAGAAAUACCGCACCACCAACAAUGUUGGUGGCCGCACUGUAAAUAACAGUGGUCAUUUCAUUGGUAAUGGCAAUGGAGGGUAUACUGAGGGUAACUCUGACGCAUCCACAAGGAACUAUGAGUUUUAG